Saccostrea cuccullata (small rock oyster) is the source of this 227-nucleotide long non-coding RNA. RefSeq lists it as uncharacterized. The record is from RefSeq and is a predicted model, not a curated record. NCBI's taxonomy places the organism in Eukaryota, Metazoa, Mollusca, Bivalvia, Ostreida, Ostreidae. The transcript has 3 exons.
AAACACUUAAUGUCAACAAGAUUUUCUGAUUGAAAAGAGAAAAGGUCAAACAGGAACUUCAAUUGUGAACAUUGCAGAGAACACACUCAUCAGAAGAUGACCCUCAGAAAUAGGAGAAUUAAUGAAUAAAAUGGACAGAGGCAGAACAGAAGGAGAUGCAUGAAAUGGGGAAUAUUUCAAAGAUUGCCUGAGCAUAACCACUGCUACUGGAUAAACAUAUGGCAAUA